This 575-nucleotide ribosomal RNA is filed under the name Anaplasma phagocytophilum. RNAcentral's name for it is "bacterial SSU rRNA". It matches the Rfam family "Bacterial small subunit ribosomal RNA", at positions 871 to 1443 of the family's 1533-position model. Lineage: Bacteria; Pseudomonadati; Pseudomonadota; Alphaproteobacteria; Rickettsiales; Anaplasmataceae. The record is from RNAcentral.
GCCUGGGGACUACGGUCGCAAGACUAAAACUCAAAGGAAUUGACGGGGACCCGCACAAGCGGUGGAGCAUGUGGUUUAAUUCGAUGCAACGCGAAAAACCUUACCACUCCUUGACAUGGAGAUUAGAUCCUUCUUAACGGAAGGGCGCAGUUCGGCUGGAUCUCGCACAGGUGCUGCAUGGCUGUCGUCAGCUCGUGUCGUGAGAUGUUGGGUUAAGUCCCGCAACGAGCGUAACCCUCAUCCUUAGUUGCCAGCGGGUAAUGCCGGGCACUUUAAGGAAACUGCCGGUGGUAAACUGGAGGAAGGUGGGGAUGAUGUCAAGUCAGCACGGCCCUUAUGGGGUGGGCUACACACGUGCUACAAUGGUGACUACAAUAGGUUGCAAUGUCGCAAGGCUGAGCUAAUCCGUAAAAGUCAUCUCAGUUCGGAUUGUCCUCUGCAACUCGAGGGCAUGAAGUCGGAAUCGCUAGUAAUCGUGGAUCAGCAUGCCACGGUGAAUACGUUCUCGGGUCUUGUACACACUGCCCGUCACGCCAUGGGAAUUGGCUUAACUCGAAGCUGGUGCGCUAACCGAA